RNAcentral lists this transfer RNA (69 nucleotides) under Ictidomys tridecemlineatus (thirteen-lined ground squirrel). Its description in RNAcentral is "Spermophilus tridecemlineatus (thirteen-lined ground squirrel) tRNA". It matches the Rfam family "tRNA". From Rfam's summary of the family: Transfer RNA (tRNA) molecules are approximately 80 nucleotides in length. Their secondary structure includes four short double-helical elements and three loops (D, anti-codon, and T loops). Further hydrogen bonds mediate the characteristic L-shaped molecular structure. tRNAs have two regions of fundamental functional importance: the anti-codon, which is responsible for specific mRNA codon recognition, and the 3' end, to which the tRNAs corresponding amino acid is attached (by aminoacyl-tRNA synthetases). tRNAs cope with the degeneracy of the genetic code in two manners: having more than one tRNA (with a specific anti-codon) for a particular amino acid; and 'wobble' base-pairing, i.e. permitting non-standard base-pairing at the 3rd anti-codon position. Lineage: Eukaryota; Metazoa; Chordata; Mammalia; Rodentia; Sciuridae. The record is from Rfam by way of RNAcentral.
GGAGUUGUAGCUCAGUGGUAGAGUGCUUGCUUUGUAUGCAUGAGGCACUGGGUUUGAUUCCUAGAACCA